RNAcentral lists this ribosomal RNA (253 nucleotides) under uncultured bacterium. RNAcentral's name for it is "partial 16S ribosomal RNA". It matches the Rfam family "Bacterial small subunit ribosomal RNA", at positions 524 to 776 of the family's 1533-position model. The record is from RNAcentral.
UACGGAGGGUGCAAGCGUUGUCCGGAAUCACUGGGCGUAAAGGGCGCGUAGGCGGCUCGGUAAGUAGGGGGUGAAAUCCUGCGGCUUAACCGCAGGGCUGCCUUCUAAACUGUCGAGCUCGAGCACGGUAGAGGCAGAUGGAAUUCCCGGUGGAGCGGUGAAAUGCACAGAGAUCGGGAAGAACACCAGUGGCGAAAGCGCUCUACUAGGCCGUGACUGACACUGAGAGACGAUAGCUAGGGGAGCGAAUGGG